This is a long non-coding RNA of Syngnathoides biaculeatus (alligator pipefish), 545 nucleotides long. RefSeq lists it as uncharacterized. The record is from RefSeq and is a predicted model, not a curated record. The transcript is spliced from 3 exons. NCBI's taxonomy places the organism in Eukaryota, Metazoa, Chordata, Actinopteri, Syngnathiformes, Syngnathidae.
CAGGCAUGAGAUGCAAUUGUUCCUCACUACCUCAUGAGUGCUAUCAUAUGAUAGAUUGCACUCAUGCUAAAACAUGUGUUAGCAAGCAUGCUAACAAUGUAGCCAGUGUGCUUAAAUGUACUUUGUUAGACAAGUGACACAAGAACAUUUCCUGAUGUUGGAACACAGUCUGCACAUAAGGUGGCAGAUGCGCAGGGGAUCCCAACACAGCACAGAAGGGCAACACUGGCUGAAGACAGCUGAAGAUGCUCUCCUUUGGUGGAUUUUGGGGGAAACCUGGAGGUGUCCGCACGCUGCAUUGAUUCUUCGAUCCACUGAAGCACUUUUCCUCUUCUGCACUCCAAUGACUGUCGUAGGUCCAGCUUCCCGUGAAUGUGAAAAAUCUUUCUGCACCUUUUGAUUCAGUUAACUGGCCAGUGGUGACAGGACUCCAAACAUGUUUUCAGUCAUAGCCACAAUACUCUGAUUACUUUUAUUGGAUUUUUUUUUCCCAUGUAAAAUAAAACACAUUUCUUUGAACUUUCAUCUUUCAAAGUUUGAACUGC